CCUACGGGAGGCAGCAGUGAGGAAUAUUGGUCAAUGGACGAGAGUCUGAACCAGCCAAGUAGCGUGAAGGAUGACUGCCCUAUGGGUUGUAAACUGCUUUUAUAAAGGAAUAAAACGAGGCACGUGUGCCUUUUUGCAUGUACUUUAUGAAUAAGGAUCGGCUAACUCCGUGCCAGCAGCCGCGGUAAUACGGAGGAUCCGAGCGUUAUCCGGAUUUAUUGGGUUUAAAGGGAGCGUAGGUGGGUUGUUAAGUCAGUUGUGAAAGUUUGCGGCUCAACCGUAAAAUUGCAAUUGAUACUGGUAGUCUUGAGUACAGUUGAGGUAGGCGGAAUUCGUGGUGUAGCGGUGAAAUGCUUAGAUAUCACGAAGAACCCCGAUUGCGAAGGCAGCUUACUAAACUGUGACUGACAUUGAUGCUCGAAAGUGUGGGUAUCAAACAGGAUUAGAUACCCUGGUAGUC
RNAcentral lists this ribosomal RNA (460 nucleotides) under uncultured bacterium. Its description in RNAcentral is "partial 16S ribosomal RNA". It matches the Rfam family "Bacterial small subunit ribosomal RNA", at positions 338 to 795 of the family's 1533-position model. The record is from RNAcentral.